Molecule: long non-coding RNA, 3898 nt
Filed under: Sus scrofa (pig)
Lineage: Eukaryota; Metazoa; Chordata; Mammalia; Artiodactyla; Suidae
Description: lncRNA (ENSSSCG00000062137.1)
Source: RNAcentral
UCAGGCCAGAACCUGCAGAAAUGCAAUUCCCUAAAGAGGGGCUGGAGAGGUGGAAUUAGAAGUCAAUUAUAGCAGGAACCUAUGAACCGAGAGGAAAGGAUUUGUCCACAUGGUUUUAUGAGCAAUAAAGAAGUUGGAAGGAAAGGAAAAGAAAUUUCAGAGUGCCUCAGGCCCCUGGUGCAUUCUGGAUUGAAAGUGAGAAAAAGAAAAACAGGAAAGUUCCCAUCGUGGUGCAGCAGAAAUGAAUCCAACCAGUAUCCAUGAGGACACGGGUUCAAUCCCUGGCCUCGCUCAGUGGGUUAAGGAUCCGGCGUUGCCGUGAGCUGUGAUGCAGGUUGCAGACGCGGCUUGGAUCUGGCGUGGCUUGUGGCUGUAGUACAGGCCAGCAGCUGCAGCUCUGAUUGGACCCCUAGCCAGGGAAGAUCCAUAUGCCGCAGGGGUGGCCCUAGAAAGCAAAGCAAAAAAAGAAAGGAAGGAAGAAAAAGCAAAAGGAACAUUGGAGAAAGAAAUUCAUGUGUCUUAGUGACAGUGCACCUAGCUCUCCUUAGUUCUGGUGUUUCUUCCAUGAUGCAGAGCUGGGGGCUGACACUGAGAUGUCCCUGGGCCUGCUAGAAGGGCUCGGGUUGGCACCGUGGCUGACAGCAAGAGCUUGGAGCAAAGCUGCUCGUCUCUGAGUCCUGGGUCUGUGCUCCUGGCACAGUGACCCUGGGCUGGGAGGUCACUGGGAGACCAGUGACCUGAGUUGAGACUCAGCAUUUCCUCAUUGAGCACAUGGGGGUGACAGCCACUGAUGCUGGCUAUCAGCUGUGUCAUUCACACCUCUUGGUGCCCUGCUUUUAAAAAAAUUGUUGUUGUUUGUUUUGUUUUGUCAUGCUUUGUUUCUUGGCUGCACCCACGCCAUGCGAAGAUGGCAUGUGGCCACAGCAGUGACAACCCAGGAUCCUUAAUCCUUAGCAGACAUUCUGCUUGUUAGUUCGGAUUUUCCCUCCAUCCUUAUCUCACUAGAUCACAAGUGCCUUAAGGCUGGCACUCGGUUUUGUGCUGAGGAGCACAAGGGGUCAUUGAGUUUGGACCUCCUGUUCUGUUUUCUCUUGGCUCCUUUUUUGGAGGGCAUGGGAAAGGCGGUUGGGUCGGGGUGAAGGAGCCUGCCGUGGGCUCUGGUAUGUGGAUACCGCCAAGUAUGUGAUAAGUGAGAACCCUAAGUACUAGUUCUUCCAGGAAGAUGCGUGAUCCCCACUCUCUUGGAAGAGUAUUUCUGCGAGAAGGACUUUGACUCAUUUUAUUCAUUUAUUCAUUCAUUUCUGAUGAGAUGUUAUGUAACAGAGAACCGUUUAUCAUGAGUUCAGCUUGAUGCAGUUUCAAACUAGACACAGCCCCGUAACCAGCAUCAAGUCACCUAACAUGACCCGCUUCCCAGUCACAGCUUUGAGGUCUCACAGCAUUGAUACUUUCACUUGUUUUUGUCCUUUAUUAAAACAGAAACACAUAGCAUUGAAACUGACAAGGCUUAUGACUUGAACGCAGCCAGAACCCAGACUGGGACUUGAACCCACGUGCCAGGACGCGAACCAAGCCAAAAGCCAGAUUGGGACUUGAACCUCCGGUUUUUAAGUCAGAAUCACUCACCCGGUAUUUGGGCUAAGUUCAGGUUCUUUGUGCCUCAGCGCAGCAGGAACUCAGUGAGAGACAAACUGUGAUCUCCCCAAGUUCCCUGGGCUUCCCUUCUAUCUUUUAUCCUCUGUUGGGGCUUCUCCAACUACCUGUGUAACUAUCCCCUCCAUCCCUACCAGCAGGUGCUUUUUCUGUCUGCCUUUUUUUUUUUUUUUUUUUGGCUCCAUGUUCUCUUUAUGAAAUUCCAUUUUGUUGUUGUUGUUGCAGGCACUUCUACUGUAUUCUCACUGCUGUGUAGAGAGACGAUAUGUGACGUGUUGGGGCUGGCUGGGGACGAUUUCGCUCCCCAGGGGACAUUUUGACAAUAUCCGGAGACAUUUUUGGUUUUCACAGCUUGGCCAGGAGGGGGCAAGGGGUGCUGUGGCAUGUAGAUAGAGAGUAGAGGCCAGGGGUGCUGCUAAACAUCUCACCAGCCACAGGACAGCCCCCACAACCAGGCAUCACCAGCCCCCCGAGACCAGUAGUGCCAAGCGGGAGAAAUUCUGCUGUGCAGCCACUUUGGUGGAUGCUUGGGUCUCUUAGGAAUACGACUGCAGUGAAGGGUGAGCCACGGGUCCUUUGAAAAUACGUGGGAAUGGAAUUGCUGGGUGGGAGGACGUGUCUGUGCUCAGCUGAGCACACAGCGCCAGCCUUCCAGAGUGGUCCUGAUUCAGUAAUGCGAGAGCGUUCCAGUUGCUCUGCCUCUGCACCAUCAUUUUCUCUGACUUGUUUGCAUUUUAAAAAAUUUGGGGAGCUUCCUCAUGGUGCAGCAGGUGAAGGAUUCAGCGUUAUCCCUGCUGUGGCUCUGGUCACUGCCUGACAUGGGUUCGACUCCUGGCCCAGGAACUUCUGCAUGCCAUGGGCAUGGCAAAAAAAAAUAAAUAAAUAAAAAUUUUUUUGUAUUCUUCUCUUCCACCCUUCUCCAUUUCAGCUACGACACACUAGAUACUCAAAACACCACUGUUUGACGGUAAAUAAUCCCAGUCUAUAUUUUGUGAAAGACGGAUUGUGCACAGGUGUGCGUACUGUGUCCAGGUAAUUAGAGAAUGCGUUCAGGGCGGGGUGACUUGCGACUAGGGUUUCUCUUAUUUAAAUAACUCGCACCAGGAGUUCCCAGUGUGGCUCUGUGGGUUAAAAACCCAACUGGUAUCCAUGAGGAUUUGGGUUCCAGCUCUGGCCUCACUCAGUGGUUAGGGUGCUGCUGUGAGCUGCGGUGUGGCUCAUAGAUGCGGCCCGGAUCCUUCAAUUGCUAUGGCUAUGGUGUAGACAGUCAACUGCAGCUCCAAUGUGACCCCUAGCCUGGGAACUUCCCUAUGCCGCAGGGGUGGACCUAGAAAGCAACAACAACAAAAAAACAAAAAUACAAAAAUAAAAAGCACCUUUCUGUAUAACCAUGUCCUUUCAUUCUUAAAAGUACCACUUAGCUUUCCAUAGUGAGUUUUAUUCCAGGGCUGAGAUUAUCCACCACUUGCAUUCAUGUUUAUUAAGUACUUCCAAAUUAUACAGUAAUAUUUAUCUUGAAAUAUUGGCUCUUUUGUUUACAGUAUUUUUCUUUGUCCUAGAAAAAUAGAUCUAGAAGGGUCCCGGAGGGAGAAAAAAAAUCUUAGAAGUUGGUAUCUGAUCCACCACUUCUCAAACUUUGGUCUCGGGACCUUGUUAGAAAUACAGAUGAUUAAAUUCCACCGGGAGUUUCUUGGGAUGGAGGCCCUGAGCUCCAUAUUUUAACAACCCCUUUAGGUAAUGAGAUGUUAAACAAGUGCACACAUGUUACGUCUAAAUUAUCCUUAACCUCAAGCCACAGGCACACCUCGUUUGGCUGAAACCAUGUGUUUUGCCAAAACCAUGAGUUAGCUCUUCUUCCAAGGCUAAGCCAUUCUUUUCCGUAGGUAAAUUCGGUGGUAAGAUUCAUCCUGAGAUGUAAUUGGCUGUGACUUAUUUGGGGGGGUCAUUGAUUUUUUUCCCUUUCUAAGCCCCCCCAGUUUCAAGCUCUUCAUUUCCUAAUGGCCACCUUUCUGCUACCAGAAGAUCACCUCCUGUCUGCGCAGGCUUUGACAUUCACUUAUAGGAAUUUGUGUCCACUGUCUUUUGCAAAUAGCAUCCUUUAGCAUCCAGGAAGUGUCUCCCCAAUGCCUUUGCUCCAUCAGAAGCAGCUCGCUGUGGCUCACACUACCAUAUGCUAUGACCAAGCAUGACCACCUUCUCGAUCUGCCACCCGGGCCUUGAAACUUCUGUGUAUUAAACGUCUUCU